Molecule: long non-coding RNA, 9975 nt
Organism: Panthera uncia (snow leopard)
Lineage: Eukaryota; Metazoa; Chordata; Mammalia; Carnivora; Felidae
Exons: 3
Source: RefSeq, a predicted model, not a curated record
GUCUCUCCCUGCUUGCUCCAGUUGUUGAUGUAUUGCCUCUCGGUUCCAAGCGCACCCACCCUUUUUUGUCUUGCUUUGUCCUCCUGAAGCCGAACUCUGCGCCUUGCAUUUCUCCUUAAUGGCCGCCUGCCUGGUACACUCUACCAAUAGAGGGCGCCGUGAAGCGGGAGGUAGAAGAAGGUGCGCUCCGUUCUGUUUCCCCAACAGUUGCUAGCAAAUCCGGGUGCAGAGGAUCCCAGCAGUUUUCCCUGCAGUGGUGGCAGCUCUCAGUGUCCUGGGGUGCUUGAUAGGAUUGACCCCAUGACCAGACCCUGCCAAUGAAUUGUGAGAGGAAAUGAGAGUGUUACUUUUGGGCACAAUGAUGAGUUGCUAGAAUGGGACACUCCUGAAUGCUCUCUUCCUGUGCCACAAGGAGCAGCCAUGUUCCAGGUGAUGGCCGCUCUGCCAGUGUAGAUCCUGCAGAGAUGACAUGGGGUAGAUCCCCCAGUUGACUCAUGAGAGACCAAGCAAGAAAUACAGAUUUGUUGUGUUAAUCCACUGAGAUUGUGGGGGGUCACCAUGAAGCACAACCGAUCCUUUCUUGGCACAAAGAUCAGACAUGAGAAUCACGUGCAAUUAUAAACAUUGGAUGGAGAGGUUCUGACAACAUUAAAGCACUCUAUCCAAAGAAGGAAUUAGCAUCCCUGAAUUAGCAGGUUUGGGAGUGAUACACUCCUGUCUCAACUGGAACAGUCCAAGAGGUAGCUUCCUGCAACAUCUCCAGCUCUGAUUCCUGCUCAAGGUUAUGCUCCUGAUGGUUGCGCUGCUGGAAAGAUGAGACAAACCACCUGGGGUUGAAAGUGCUUCAGAGCCGCCAAGGAUGGGAUGGGCUUUCCAAAUGGCUUCUUCAGUUGAGCUGAAGGCCCAGAAUGUAAUGUUUGUUUAUGUGCCAUGCCAGUUUAGACUGUCCUGAAAGUGUGUGUAUGUGUAUAUGAGGGUGUGAGAGAGAAUACACACAUGCGUUUAACUUGCAGAAUGUGUAUCAUUCUAGACAUUCUGGAAAAUAAUUGCUCUUGAUAAGGACAAAUGCAGUCACCAUUUCCUAUUUUCACUGAAAGCUGGGAGAGAAAAGCAAUGGCUUGAGUCAUCGAACGGGGGUUUCAGAUUAGAUAUGAGGGGAAAUUUCUUUUUCAGGUGAAUUUGAUAAAUCCUGGAAUGGAUUAUCAGGGGGGAAUUUUGAAGCCUCUUUCUCUGGGAGCUUUUGAAAAUAGGAUAAAUGCUCAUGUGCCUGAGAUAGUGGAAGCCUGAUCCUAUCUGGAGAUGGCAUGAUGGAUUGGCUUCUGGGUAGCGGCAGAGGAGAAAGGAGCCUCCUUUCUCCUGAGGUCUACUGACCGAGUUUCACGUUUCAGAGCAUUUCAGCAUUACUGAUUUUCUCUGAUUGAAAAGCCACAAGUGUUCAUUAUUUGAAAUUCGGAGAUUACAUAAAAAUAUGAAAAACUAAAAAUCAAACAAAAUUCUGUAAUCCAAAAAUAACCCAAAUUAUAUAUAUGUGUGUAUAUAUAUAUGUACAUAUAUAUGUGUAUAUACAUAUAUACACAUAUAUGUAUAUGGUCUCAAAAAAUUGUAUAGUCUUUUAUAUAGUCUCAAAAAAAUUGUAUCACAUACUACAUGGUUCUGUAAUCUAGCUUUUGUACUUAGGAUAUCGUGGACUCCUUUCCAUGUCAGUAAAUACCAUUUUACAUCAUGUAGCAUGUAGCUGUAUCAUGGAUCAUGUACAUGUCUCCAUGUAGCUUGACUUAUAUAAUCAGUUCUCUACUGUGGAGUUUAGGUUGUUUUCCCUGGAAAUCCUUGCACAUAUAUCCUUGUGAAUUGUCUAGUUAUUGCUUCAAAAUAGAUACCUGGGAGUAAAAUAGCUGAGUUAAGGGUCUGCCGGUUUAAAAUUGUCCUACCUAUUGCUAGGUUUCCCUCUAGAGAGGUCAUACCACUUUAAAUUUCCAUCAGUGAUGCUUGAGAGAGUCUAUUUCCCCCUUUUCUAAAUAACACGGGCUACUCUCAAUAUCUUAAUAUACAUUUCUUUGAGUCUUAGAGAGGCUGAGGUUUUCAACGUUUUCAAGCAUUUAUAUUUUUCUUAUUUGCCUUUUGUGUCCUUUAUCCAUUGUUUUUAAAGAGGGCAUUUGGUAAGUAGAUAGAUACAUACAUACAUAUAUGCAUACACAUACACAUAUGUAUGUACAGAUUCUAUCUGCAUCUUUGUGUAUCAUUUUCCAAGUCGCCUUUUAACUGCGCUGAUUAUGGAUAUGCUGUACAGAGUCUGCUACAUAGAUAAUUCUUUGGGAUACGUUAGUUAUAACUAGAAUAACAAUGGAUUUCUGGAAUCCUGGCCAUACCUGUGUCACCUGUUUCUGGACCAGUUGAGGUCUCAAGUCACCAAGGAGAGUGGGGCCGAGAGUGUGGGUAGCUAGGUAAGGGUGUAUAUACGUGGCCAGUGCAUAUUUUAUGGAGUCAGGUCAAGGGUUCCCUGUCACUGAAUGAAGUCACAGCCAGGGGGCUUGAUGGCAGAACAUGAACCAAGCCUUCAGCACGUGGAGUACGUGAUGGUGGGCAGAGCGGGAGAUGAGGGGCCGAGGGAAGGAAGGGAAGAUGGUCCCUCAGGGCCAGUCAGUCUGCUCCCCUCCAUCUAAAAGCAGCAGCAUCUCCCCCUUCUCCGUACCCCACCUCCUCUCCCUAUCCCCACAAAGUACACACGCUAAGAGGCUACACUAACCAGGCCUGUUGUUGAUUCUCUCCUUUCUCUUGCUCUGGGCCAAGCAGAGGGGGGACAUGAACACUUUUCAUCCUUAGUGAUGUAGGGCAAGGAUGGGCUAACUGCACAUGGGCAAGGUAGACAGAGGGGGGAAGGAACAGGGCAGUCCCCCUGGGGUGGAGCUGCUUCUGGGGUGAAGGACCCAGCGGCUGGUGUAGUGGAAAUAGAACUUGCCGUCAGGUUUUAUCACAGAGAUGGAGCUAGAAAGAGGACCACAUCCUAAUUCUUCUGACUUGUCUCUGCUCAUCCCUUGUUAUUUUAGUUGUUUCGGGCUGCAAGUUUUGUGAGUUGACAACAGUAUCUUGUUCAUUUCACUCAGAGUAAAAUCCAUAUUCCUAACCUGGCCUGUAAGUCCCUUUACAUCUUACCUCCGCCACCUCUCCUACCCCAUUUCUUAUCCCAUUCCUCAGAUCAUUUUAGUCCACUUGCUCCUUGAACAACUCAAGUGCAUCCGUGCCCCAGGGCUAUUGCACUUGUGUUCACUUUGCUUAUAACGCCCUUUCCCCACACGUUCACAUAGCUUACCCCCUCCUUCCUUCAGGUCUCUGCUCCAGUGUCACCUUAUCUUAGUGGCAUGUGGAUGUCUUUGGCAGCACUGCAUCCGGGAAGUCUAUCUCAGAGAGCAGGUUCCUGACAUGGACCCCAGGCUGGGGCAGGGCUGACUGCCAGGACGUGAAGCCAAUUUUGGCAGAGUCCAGGUCCAAGCCGCUUACCAGGGCAGGGAGUUGACACAAGGGACCCAGGUGAGGAUUCAGUAACUGGAACUGGAUUCCUUCUAGGCCUACCUGUCCAGUGCUGAGCCAGUCCCACCCACAAGCAGCAUCUGUCUGCCUCCAGCCUCUUUCUGGGCUCAUGCCCAGAGCCCCACCACCCUAUCAUCCCAACCUGCUCCCAUGCCCCUCAUUCCUUAUGCCUUCCUACCCUGUCCCCUUCCUUCCUGAGACCCAUAUCCCUCCUCAUCCCAUUCUGGAGAAAUCUCCUUUCCCCUCCAGGUGUAUUGUGGGUCCAGAACCCACAUUAAGGGGUGGGCAUUGUCAGCUGCUGCUGUUUUAGGAAGUCCACCAGUUCAAUAUUUCCAGAACGUUAUUCAGUCAAGCCUUGGAUAUGCUAAUGUGAGCCUGUGUCUUCCGCUUGGGAGCUCACUAGUCAACCAAGGAAGGAUUUUACGGAGAGCUGCAAAUCUCUAAGUACUAAAGCUCACUGGGUGUGACAAGUCCAUUUGGGAGAUUAGGAAGGGAAGCUAGGGAGAGAGAAGCUUAGGCAUUAUCCAUCUGCCAGGCUGACAGAGGCAUCUCCUCCCAACCAAGAGAGGAAGAGAGUGGUAUCCAAGAAAGAUGGAGACAAGGCUUAUAUACACACACGGUUUGGAUGUCUUGGCUAAAAAACUCAUCCAUUGUCUAAACAGCUGAUAGAACUAAUGCUAGGCCCUACACCAAACGUUUCUAUUCAUUUAGUCUAAGGGUGGGCCUGGUAAGUUUUUUUUGUUUGUUUUUUUUUUAAGAUUCCCAGGUAACUACUGGUUUCACUUUGCUACUUGAUUGUCCUCUGUGUCCCAGACAUUGUGGUGGCGUGGGGGGUACAAGAUGAGGUCUUUACGGGCCCUGAUGGAAUGGAUCAAUCAAUGCAAUCAAAAUGCCUAGGCUAAUAGUGUGUGACAGCCUUUUCAAUAGGAGAUCAAGAUAAUUGCUUUAAAGGGGGACAAUUUAACCCAUCAACAGGAUGUUAUGUCUACCCAAUGUGAGAUAAUCAGAUUGAUUUUCCUGAAUUGAUGCAAUUAAAUUCAUAUUGUUGUUUUUGUACCAUAUAGAGACAGCCAAGCACAUCAUCUCUUCAAGUGGAAUCUAGGUACCACCUGUUUUGGGAAGGUUGUCUAAAUAGAAAUUCCCGAACCCCCACCCAGAGCUCCCUGAUCAGAAUCUCUGGUUCCCAGGUUUUUCUUAGGCAGUGGUUCCCAACCUUGUCUGCACAUUCGAGUUAAAUUUUUUUUUCAUGUUUAUUUAUUUUUGAGAGAAAAAGAGUGUGAAUAAGGGAGGGGGAGGGGCAGAGAGAGAGAGAGGGAGACCCAGAAUCCAAGGCAGGCUCCAGGCUCUGAGCUGUCAGCACAAAGCCCAACAUGGGGCUCAAACUCACAAACUGUGAGAUCAUGACCUGAGCCGAAGUCGGAGGCUUAACCAACUGAGCCACCCUGGUGCCCCAACCUGGGGAACUUUUAAACAGUCCCGGCUGCACCCCGCCCCCUCCCAGACUAAUUAAAUUAGAAGCUCCAGGUGGAAGAGUCAGGGAGAGAAUGCAGGCAUCCGUGUUUUAAAGUUUUCCAGGUGGUUCCAAUGAGCAGCCAAGAUUAAGAAGUGGAGUUAAGUGGCGUGGGAGGACGCAGGCAUCAGGAUCUUUCAGAAGCUCCCGUGGGAUUGCUAAUAGAAACUACAGAGCAUGCCCUCGGAGCAGAUGUCUUCCACACAAAGAGCACGUGAGCCUCCUUCCCGAGAUCCUGGAUUUGUUUGUGGUCUUGUGGUUGACGGUGAGCUCUGGUCCAAGGAAGAACUGUGGAGAGGUUACCAGAACUGUGUCUGUAUCUAACACAACAGUCAGAAAGUCUGCACUGCCCAACUCCUCAGGCCCUAACAUUUUUCUUGGUUGUUCUCUUGGCCUUCUUGUGGCCACACUGGGCUUGGCUGCCGGGCCCUCCGACACCCCUGAGUUUGCCUCUUGGGUCUUCCCGUCUUAUCUUCUUCUCUUGGGCUGGCACGCAGGGGCGUCUGUUUCAUGCAUCCAAACUGGCCAGUUAGAACGGGAGGCAACCGCAGUUCUAGGUGUCCAACCCCUCCCUUCUAGAUGUAUUAAACACUGCAGAUGAGUUGCUUUGUGCCAUGGCUGAAGUGAAAUAUACACGCCAGCAGCCAGGCAGUCAAGUUGGCAUAAACCAGGCUUGUUUAUUUUUUGUCGUUUUUUUUUUUUCCUUUGUGGUUUGAAUGCCACCCUCCUGGAGCUGGGAAAGGAUAUUGGCUCACAGGAAAUCCCACAUAUUGUUACUCACCAAGUUUGAGAAAACUUUUAGUUUUUACUAUUUGCUGCCAAGUACGGAAGGGUUGUUCUAAACCCUGGCUGCACACAUUAGAUGCACCUGAGGAGUUAUGAAAACAGUGCUGGGUCCCACUCAGGCCGAUUAAAUGGGGAGGUCUGGGAGUGCAGACCAGGCCUGGGACUUGUUCAAAUGUUUGUAAAUUAGUGUGCAGCCCACGUUGAAGAUGACUGAUCCAGGAGAGGGAGAAGAUUGUGGAUCCAGAAAACUAGUAUUUUCUAGGUGCUAGGCAACUUCUCUAGUUGUAGCUGAUAUUGAGCGCUUACUAUGUGUAAGGUGCUGUUUUAAGAGUUUUAUAUCUAUUGACUGGUAUUUCUAACAGUCUUCUGAGGAAUUACCUCCAUGUUUCAAUGCAGAAACUGAGGCUCAGAGCACUCACAGAGCUCGCAAGUGAUACCGCUCAGCCUCAAAUCAAGGCAGUGUGGUUUCAGAACUCAGGCUCUUUACUGCUACAUUUGACUACCUCCCAAUAACCCUGGCCAUUAGGAAUGGAGGAAGUAACUCAGAAACCCCUUAACACAACAAAAGAUGAUUUCUUAUUCCUGCUAUCCAUUCUGGGAGGGGGCAUGAGGAGAUGGGAGUAGGGGGAAUGGGAGGUGAGUGUUCCGCUCCACAAAGUCACUCAGGGACCCAGCUGAAAGAGGUUUCACCAUCUUGUAACCUGUACCAUCUGAAAAGCGGCCCUCUCAAACCCUUAAGCCAGGGAAGAGAGAGAUGCGAUGAUCACACAUGGGUUUUCACUUCAGCCAGAAGUAGCACGUGCAUUUCCACUCACACUUCAUGGUCCUAUGACCUGCCCAGCUGCUAAGUGGGUGGACAGUGUAGGGGAGCAAAUGGAAUGCUUGGUAGCAUUAAUUUCUGUGCCACAUUCUGGGAGAUGGCUCUUGUGCCUGGUUCAAGAAGCAAAUGCAGAGAGAUUAAGAAACGUGCCUAAAGAGACACAAAAUGUAGAGUUGGGCCUCACGCCCAGGUGAUCUCACGUGAAUUCUUGUGCUUGUUUUCUACCCCAUCAGUGACUAACCGUAUGCGUCUGGAGGGAUAUCUCUAUAUCACUUAGCAUUUAUCCUUGAGGCCAUCUAGCAGAUGCUAAACACCGCCACCGAACCGUAAGGUAACACUAUAAAUUUCUUGGUUGUAAAUAUAGGUAAUUGUGCUAUUUUUUUGAGGUAUGCUCAUUAAAUCACCAGGUGAAGUGCCUAAUGCCAUCCUGGGAAUAGAAAGGAUCGUGUUUGGUGCCUAAAAAUAAGACGGAUUCACCGUGGGGUGCUAAUGUAUGUAGCUACAAGAAAAGCAGCCACCGGGAGGCACAGCUCCUGUAUAUGCAAGAGAAGAGACCACAUUCACACUGUUAAUGGCAGCUUUUCACGGCCUCUGGAGCGCUGCCAUCCCAAACUGCUCCAGGUAUAGAGGUGACGGGUUAGAGGAAAGUGUUCUUUUCUCCCUCUCUCUGUGAUCCUCCCGCCGUGCUCACUAACCCACAGCACCAACAGGAGUAUGGAAUCCACUAAACUGAAGACUCCACAACUGUAACCUGAAACUUGGCCAGUGAUGGAAUCUCUCACCUCAUCCAAUUGCUUGGGGUCUAUUGUUCUGGUAAUUAUAUCUUAAAAUGUUGGACAUUUUCCAAAAGGCCAGCCAGCACUGUGAGAAAGAAGAGUAUGUCCUGGGGUGGGUAGCACUGGUUAUAUUUGACUUGACACGAGCUGCUUUGUCCCUGGCUGCCAGCAGUAACCCCCAUCCCUAGGACCCGGAGGCCCCAGUCGUCCUGCGCCUCUGGGAAGGAGACAAAGGCAGGAAUGUCUGUGGCAGCAGGCUGAACCCAAGUGUGUGUAUGUAUGUGGAGGCAGGCAGGAUGGUCUCAGAGUUCGGGUUCUUAGACAAUCAAGAGAAAGGAAAAAGAAGGCUUUGAAGGGAAAAAGCGUUAUUGACAAGAGGUAACCAAUUGAUCCUUCCAGCAUGUUUUUCUUCUUGACUCUAGAAGUCCCAGUGCUAGUCAGACUGGGGUUACCUUCCCAGCAAGAUCGGCCCCACACUCUGGCUAUGGUUUUACAGGGUUCUGGGCCCCAAACUGAGCUGGCCACUGAAAACACCUAGGGAACCUAAAAGGCAUUAUUCAAGUCCCUGCUCCUAAGCUACUGAAACAGUCUGGGCCCCUGGAAAUAAUAUUUUACAUUAAACAUCCUUGGGUGUUUCUAAUAGCCAGGCAGGUUCUGGAGUUCAUGCCAUCCCCCAUUUGGGAACAUGUUGAACAGAAGCCUUAGUAAAUUAGUAAAAAUUAAAAAAAUAUAUGUUACUAAAAACAGGAAAACAAAACGCACCAGCACCCCUACCACCCAGAGUUAUACUGCCAACACUUGGUGUACAGAACCACUUCCUGCCAGAUAGAUAGAUUCCCUGUCUCUGUUUUGGACAGGCUGGUGGCACCACCAUUUUGCCAUCUGUCCACCUGUGGCCUCACUGAGUGAUGCACCAGCAGAACAGGUACCUUGUCCCUUCUGCAAUGUAGGUUUGAGGCUCAGGGCCCCUCUGAAAAGCUGAGCUGGGGUCAGCAGGUUGAUGGGGUUAAAGAAAGCCUGUGCACCAUGGAUUUGCUUUGGUGGCACUGUGCCACCAGCUGCCAGAACCCCUGCCACAUUAGCAGCACCACAGCCACUGGCACCAGCUUAGAAUCACUGUGUCCAACCUGGCAGAGACCGCCUGGUGGCCAUCUUAUAAACCAGGGAACCAAAGUUCAGGAAAGUUCUGUGAAGCCCAGCUAGCUACCUUCCUGGCUAUGUGUUCUAAUAUCCCUGAAAUGUAACUAUGGUUCUGGCAAAGGAAGCAGGUGACUCCUAAGGGACGUGAUUAAUGAAUGGGCUACCAAAACUGGUUGGGCAAAGCUCAGCUUAAGUUUGUGUUAAAUCCUUUAUGACUCUGGCUCACCUAUUUGUAGAACUUAACUGUGGCUUAGUGGGGAGAAAUUCAUCCAAUGGACCCAACAAGGGUUGUAUUCCUACAUUUGUGUGUGUGUGUGAAAAUACUCCCACAUAUCCCUUCUUCCCUUUUUUUUAACGUUUUUUAUCUUGAGAGAGAGAGAGAGAGCACAUGCGCAAGUGAGCGAGCUCAUGGGGGAGGGGCAGAGAGAAAGGGAGAGAGAGAAUCCCAAGCAGGCUUCACGCUUUCAGCCCAGAGCCUGAUGUGGGGCUCGAACCCACAAACCAUGAGAUCAUGACCUGAGCAGAAUCCAGAGUGAGGUACUUAACCAACUGAGCCACCCAGGUGCCCUUCUUCUUCCUUUUCUUACUAUCUUCCUGUGCAGUGUGAUUGGUUAGGUUUGACUGAGCCAGCAUUUGUGAUUCUAGAGUAUCUUCAUAGCCAUUUAAGUAGAUUUACUUGUAAAAAAAAUUUAUGGGGCACUGUAGAGGUUGGAAAACUUUUUCUUAAAGUCAUACACUAAAGAUUUUAGGUUUUAUGAGCUGUGGGGUCUCUGUUGCAACUUCUCAACUUUGUAGUUGUCACACAAAAGCAGCCACAGGCAAUAUGCUAAUGACUGCACAUGACUGUGUUCCAAUAAAACUUUAUUUACAAAAAUAGGGGUCCAGCCUGCCAAAGUUCUAUUCUCUUGAAUAAUUACAGCCUAUCUAAAAAGUCUUAAUUAUUUGAUGACAUGCCAGAAGAGAAAUCACUGAAUCUUUAGACUGUGUGGCCAGAUCUAUUCAUCAAAAAAAGUUCGCUUUGUUCUGAAAACUCUGCUUUUUCUGCUUUCUGCCAGAGCAAUGUUCUUGCCAAACAUAUGUGUCAGUGACUCCAUGUGAAUAUAUUCAUAGUGGAGAACUUUUUAAGCUCAGGCUCCACAGAGUUCAGGGGUCUCUCCAUGACAUUAAAGCAGAGGAAGGAUGUGAUAUCAACCACCAGCGCUAAAAUUUCAGUUGUUAUUUAAGCAGAAAAUGCUGUCAAAGUAGCUAAUUUUUUGAUAUGGUUGUCUUCUGUGUCAGUUAGUUGUAAAAACAAAUCACCCUAAAGCUUAAUGCCUUAAAACAAUUAUUGAUUUAGCUCACCCAGGUGGUUCUUGUGGUCAAGGCCAGGUUCAAAUGAUAUAGACUGAGCUUGCUCAUGGCCCUGAUAGGUCGAUUUG